This 460-nucleotide ribosomal RNA is filed under the name uncultured bacterium. Its description in RNAcentral is "partial 16S ribosomal RNA". It matches the Rfam family "Bacterial small subunit ribosomal RNA", at positions 338 to 795 of the family's 1533-position model. The record is from RNAcentral.
CCUACGGGUGGCAGCAGUGAGGAAUAUUGGUCAAUGGGCGUAAGCCUGAACCAGCCAAGUCGCGUGAGGGAUGAAGGUUCUAUGGGUCGUAAACCUCUUUUGUCAGGGAAUAAAGUGCGGGACGUGUCCCGUUUUGUAUGUCCCUUAUGAAUAAGGAUCGGCUAACUCCGUGCCAGCCGCCGCGGUAAUACAGAGGAUCCGAGCGUUAUCCGGUUUUAUUGGGUUUAAAGGGUGCGGAGGCGGCGUUUUAAGUCAGCGGGGAAAGUCUGUGGCUCAACCAUGGAACUGCCGUUGAAACUGGGAGGCUUGAGUGGGUUAGAGGAAGGCGGAAUGCGUGGUGUAGCGGUGAAAUGCAUAGAUAUCACGCAGAACCCCGAUUGCGAAGGCAGCCUGCCGAGGCAUGACUGACGCUGAGGCACGAAAGCGUGGGGAUCAAACAGGAUUAGAUACCCCAGUAGUC